This 813-nucleotide ribosomal RNA is filed under the name uncultured bacterium. RNAcentral's name for it is "bacterial SSU rRNA". It matches the Rfam family "Bacterial small subunit ribosomal RNA", at positions 89 to 904 of the family's 1533-position model. The record is from RNAcentral.
UGACGAGUGGCGGACGGGUGAGUAAUGCUUGGGAACUUGCCUUUGCGAGGGGGAUAACAGUUGGAAACGACUGCUAAUACCGCAUAAUGUCUUCGGACCAAACGGGGCUUCGGCUCCGGCGCAGAGAGAGGCCCAAGUGAGAUUAGCUAGUUGGUGAGGUAAAGGCUCACCAAGGCGACGAUCUCUAGCUGUUCUGAGAGGAAGAUCAGCCACACUGGGACUGAGACACGGCCCAGACUCCUACGGGAGGCAGCAGUGGGGAAUAUUGCACAAUGGGGGAAACCCUGAUGCAGCCAUGCCGCGUGUGUGAAGAAGGCCUUCGGGUUGUAAAGCACUUUCAGUUGUGAGGAAAAGUUAGUAGUUAAUACCUGCUAGCCGUGACGUUAACAACAGAAGAAGCACCGGCUAACUCCGUGCCAGCAGCCGCGGUAAUACGGAGGGUGCGAGCGUUAAUCGGAAUUACUGGGCGUAAAGCGCACGCAGGCGGUUUGUUAAGCUAGAUGUGAAAGCCCCGGGCUCAACCUGGGAUGGUCAUUUAGAACUGGCAGACUAGAGUCUUGGAGAGGGGAGUGGAAUUCCAGGUGUAGCGGUGAAAUGCGUAGAUAUCUGGAGGAACAUCAGUGGCGAAGGCGACUCCCUGGCCAAAGACUGACGCUCAUGUGCGAAAGUGUGGGUAGCGAACAGGAUUAGAUACCCUGGUAGUCCACACCGUAAACGCUGUCAACUAGCUGUGUGUGAUUUUAAAUCGUGCGUAGCGAAGCUAACGCGCUAAGUAGACCGCCUGGGGAGUACGGCCGCAAGGUUAAAACUCAA